CGUUUUCCCCGCCACUUUCUUCAAUGUUGAAAUCGAAAUGUUUAUCGACGUCAUCAUGCUCCUCACCCCCCUCUUUGCCUUGUGCUCCUUCUCGGCCUGAUGAAUUGACGUCUUUAUUGAAGAAGGGCGAAAGUUUUCAAAUAUUUACUA
Non-coding RNA from Caenorhabditis elegans, 150 nucleotides. The record is from Ensembl. Lineage: Eukaryota; Metazoa; Nematoda; Chromadorea; Rhabditida; Rhabditidae.